GUUCCAGACUCCUACGGGAGGCAGCAGUGAGGAAUAUUGGUCAAUGGCCGAGAGGCUGAACCAGCCAAGUCGCGUGAGGGAAGAAUGUCCUAAGGAUUGUAAACCUCUUUUGUCAGGGAGCAACGCCGGCUACGUGUAGCCGGACUGAGAGUACCUGAAGAAAAAGCAUCGGCUAACUCCGUGCCAGCAGCCGCGGUAAUACGGAGGAUGCGAGCGUUAUCCGGAUUUAUUGGGUUUAAAGGGUGCGUAGGCGGGCUGUUAAGUCAGCGGUAAAAUGUCGGGGCUCAACCCCGGCCUGCCGUUGAAACUGGCGGCCUCGAGUGGGCGAGAAGUAUGCGGAAUGCGUGGUGUAGCGGUGAAAUGCAUAGAUAUCACGCAGAACUCCGAUUGCGAAGGCAGCAUACCGGCGCCCGACCGACGCUGAGGCACGAAAGCGUGGGUAUCGAACAGGAUUAGAUACCCCAGUA
This 467-nucleotide ribosomal RNA is filed under the name uncultured bacterium. RNAcentral's name for it is "bacterial SSU rRNA". It matches the Rfam family "Bacterial small subunit ribosomal RNA", at positions 328 to 792 of the family's 1533-position model. The record is from RNAcentral.